Molecule: long non-coding RNA, 920 nt
Organism: Osmia bicornis bicornis
Lineage: Eukaryota; Metazoa; Arthropoda; Insecta; Hymenoptera; Megachilidae
Exons: 3
Source: RefSeq, a predicted model, not a curated record
ACGAGCAAUGAUUAAUUUAUGAAUCUCUCGUACGGAUUUAGACUUUCAAAUAGAAAACGACCAGCAUAAUAUAGAACGAAAUACGAUUCUCGGAGUCUGAGUUAUCAGACUAACAGUGUACUGACGUAAGACCAACAGAGAAUUGUACUUGGUCAUCCAACACCGUUCUUAUGAGACCGUAACCAUCUUGUCAGGAACAGAGGAACUUCAAAUAGUUUUCCAGUUGCCAGUUUCCAGAUGUCACCAUAACGUUCGAUGACUGUCCGUUUUAUUGCUGAUACCGAUGUUCGAAUAUGAAUAUCGAGUGCGUGAACGUAAGCGAUUGAGAAAUCGAUUAUCAAUCGAUGAAAAACUGGUCACCGAUGAUUAUAAACAAGGAAAUCAACUCGUUUCUUGUUUUUUACUGUUUAUCUGUUACGAGUAAAGCCAGUGCCACACAAACUGAAUUAUUAUCACAGAUACAAGAGAAAAAAACACCUCUGUGAAAAAGAUGUAUUUUAAUAUUAACACAAUGUGUAAUUAAUUAAAAGUGAUCGUAUUAUAAUGGAAAUAAGAAUUACCAUGAUUAGAAUACUAUUAGAAUCUUUGAAGCUGUCAGGUCCCAAAUAGCCUGUCGAUGACAGUCAAACGACGGAUGUGGUUUAAAUUCCGAAUCGUUAAAUCUGACUUUAGAAAAAAUUUAGAUGCCUUGACGUCACAAAUAUAUGAGUAGUUGGUUCGUUUUUUCAAGAUAUUUCAUUUUCUUUGACGCCUAUAGAAGGCCAGCCAUUACGUGGAGGCUACGUAAUAGACGAAUGAAAGAAGAUUCUUACAAGUGUCAUUUUUCUUACUCUCGGUUCUAGCCUUUGACCCAUCGAAAGAUUUAAAAAAGUGUUUGAGAAUCUUGAAUAAAAAUUGUUAACCAAAGUUCAAAUUACAUU